GAUGAACGCUGGCGGCGUGCCUAAUACAUGCAAGUCGAGCGAACAGACGAGGCGCUUGCUCCUCUGACGUUAGCGGCGGACGGGUGAGUAACACGUGUAUAACCUACCUAUCAGACUGGGAUAACUUCGGGAAACCGGAGCAUAUCCCGGAUGAUAUCUUGAACCGCAUGGUUGAAUAGUGAAAUACGGCUUUGCUGUCUCUUCUCGCUGGAUCCGCGCCGCAUUAGCUAGUUGGUAGGGUAACGGCUUACCAAGGCUACGAUGCGUAUCCGACCUGAGAGGGGGGUCGGCGACCCUGGAAGUGAGACACGGUCCUGGCGCCUACGGGACGCAGCAGUAUGGAAUCUUCCGCAGUGGGCGAAAACCUGACGCAGCGACGGCGCGUGAGUGAUGAAGGUCUUCGGAUCGUAAAACUCUCUUAUUGGGUAAGAACAAAUGUGGAAGUAGCUAUACACGUCUUGACGGUACCGAGUCAGAAAGCCCCGGCUAACUACGUG
Molecule: ribosomal RNA, 497 nt
Filed under: uncultured bacterium
Lineage: Bacteria
Description: partial 16S ribosomal RNA
Rfam family: Bacterial small subunit ribosomal RNA
Source: RNAcentral